RNAcentral lists this long non-coding RNA (390 nucleotides) under Malus domestica (apple). RNAcentral's name for it is "long non-coding RNA (MDOM_LNC013011)". Lineage: Eukaryota; Viridiplantae; Streptophyta; Magnoliopsida; Rosales; Rosaceae. The record is from RNAcentral.
GAUGAUAAACUUCAAUCAAAUGGACAACUCUAGUAAGACUAAGAAGUUGCUCUUCUCAAAGAGAACGUACUCUUUGACUCCCAAAGAAAUAAUGCGUAAAUAGAAUCCUUUAUGCAUACGCGGAAAGGUGAUUUAUGUAUUUCAUAUUGUAUGAAAAACAUUGAUAUGAGUUGUACCUAGAACAGGUACAAGACGAUGUCAGUGCAAGCCCAGGAUCAGAACCAUGGCAAUUGUCAAGUGAAUCCUUAAGUAUUUAAGAAAUACUAAAGGAUAAAUUCCUCAAAGAUCAAGGAAGAAUUAGAGUAACGUAAUGGAAGCAUAAAUGAAUUAGAUUGUGAAUCUAAUCCAUCAUUGGAUGUUUCUUCAUUAUGAAUGAAGAGAUAAACAGAU